UCAAUGGAAGAGAAGGGCUUGAUCUGGAGCGCCAAGAGCACACAAGAGUUUGGCAAUGGAGCUUUGCAACUCAGCAGCAAGCCAAGUAAUGGGCAUCUUCAACACCGCCUCCAACGCCGUACUCGGCGACGCUUCCUCUGAUUCCUCGCAUCACAAAGGGUUGGUUCUUUCACUAUUGGAAUGAAGGUUUCAAAAAGCGGUUUUACGUAAUAGUUGCGGCCAUUACAUAAUGGUUGUGGCGGUAGGCGCUAUCCGUUGCACUUGCUUGUGCGGUGUGACGAAAAUUCACGUGUAAUAGUUGUUUCAGUGUUAUGUAACGACUAUAGCAGUAUUGUAAUGGCCAUAAUGGCUCAUUACACACAUUUACAAUAUUUUUAAUAGCUUCCAUUCCCAAAAAAAAAAAAAAAAA
Molecule: non-coding RNA, 409 nt
Organism: Camellia sinensis
Lineage: Eukaryota; Viridiplantae; Streptophyta; Magnoliopsida; Ericales; Theaceae
Source: RefSeq, a predicted model, not a curated record